Molecule: long non-coding RNA, 6146 nt
Filed under: Homo sapiens (human)
Lineage: Eukaryota; Metazoa; Chordata; Mammalia; Primates; Hominidae
Description: non-protein coding lnc-PAICS-3:4
Source: RNAcentral
AGACCCCGAUGUAUCAAAUCCGAGGUCAGGCAGUGGUCCUGAAGCUGAGCAAAUGUAUGUGGAAGCAGGCUCAGGCCUAGCGGCACUUCGCCUCCUUCACACAGACCCCCGCCGGACACCGCGCCCUGCCGCGACUCACUUAGCAAGUCUCGCGGAUUAGGUUUGAUCGCAUUCGGCCCUUUCCCGGAUAGCUCGUCGCGGAUACUUCUCACAGCGAAGCAGCAGCUCCCAGAAGCCGUAAAGCUAUCCCAGAGCGAGGCACCAUACGUAAAUCUUCCGCGUCGCUACGUGACGUCAGUGCGAGCGACCCCGGGCCGGCUGCGUGGAGCUGGCGCUGCCUCUCCUGAAGCCGAGGCGCUAACUUGAGUGAAGAGGUCUAUAGGCUUUUUCACUUUUGGUUAUCUGCUCAGGCGCUCCUUGGGGUCGCGCAUGGUCUCGGACAGGGUUUGCAAGGACUUCGGAGCUAACCAGUUUGGAGCCAUAACCCUUUCGUACUUGCCAAAAAACUCUGGGCAAGACUCUUGAAUUUUGAGCCGCAGUAUUCUCGUUCAUAAGGUGAGAAUAAAAACAUCACCUAGGGUUGAUGUGAAGAGAGAUGAAAUCAUUGUGAAAUAGGAGAGUUAUUGCUUUCAACCAAUGACAUUUUCUGGAAACGUGCUGGAGAUAUGGCUGCAGCAGUGACGCCUGCAAACGACGUUCCUGUCAUCAUGAUGCUGACAUUUUAAUUGGGAAGCAGAUUGAAACGAUAACUAAGGAAUUUGACAGGAGCAUUUAGUAGGACCUGUAAAGAAAUUAAAGCAGGUCCGAGGUGGAGUUUUGUAAACUAUAUGCCUGAAUAGAACUUUCUGUUUCCAAGGGAAUUGUUACAGUUGGAGACAUGUCAAUUAUUACAAUAAGCGUCAAGGGCAAUAACAGAGGUGUUUUAAAGCUACUGUCUGGUGGCAGAAUAAUCGGGAUUUUUUUGUUUGGGGGGUUUUAGCCGGGGGAGGGACUGCGAAGACAGCUCUGCAUCAAAACAGUACGUGAGAAAAAAGCAUAGGACGCUCUCGCAGCCGUAGUUGUUGGUGACAAGAAACUGUGCUUCUAAUCUAAGCAAAAAAUAUCUCCACAUGCCAACUAUACUUUUCCAAGAUGUACCAUGGACUACUCAAACUAACACAGCCUUAUUUAUGUAUUUAGGUUGGAAGUGGGCAAAAGUGUAUCUUGUCUAUGUUUCUAUGUUUCUACGUUGGGAUGACACCAUCAUCCACCCAGCCAGACAGUUAUCAACCUUCCCACUUUCUUAACCUCUUACAUCCGAUUAGACCCUAUGUCCUCUAGUUCUCAGUCUUGAGACCAGCACCCAGCUGGCUACAUCAGAAUUGCCGGUGGUGAUGUUUUAGAAGAUUCCAAAUUCCUGGACUCCAUCCCCGGAGGUUCAUCCCCUAGUUUUCUAGUGAGGGGCCUAGAACCUGCGUUUUUUAAGUGUCAUGUUCAUCGCCAUUACUGCUACUUUAGUUCAGGUCUUCUUGGUCAGCUUUUUCCUAAAACGUUUUCAGUUUUGUUUGCCUCUGAUUGACUCUGAAUUGCUGCCAAAAUGAUGUUUUAUUAUUCCAGUAUCAUCAUCCAACUCUCUGAUAUUAAUGAUACCUUUUUUAAAGUUUUUCUUCCCUUGCAGUAUCUAUUUCCCUCAAGUUUCCUUUUUUUUUCUUCUGUUGAUUUUGUGCUCUAUCUUUCACAUUAGAGGCUUUCCUAGGAUGUCUGGUGGUCCUUAUCUGCUCAUAUGUAAGUGGGGGUAUAUUUAAAAGUUGAUUGGAAGCUGUUGAGCCCAUGGGACGUUUGUUGAAAAUCAAGUGGGAGAGGAGGGGUAUGGAGGCUGCGGUAUGUCUCAGAAUUUAGUACAAUUUUCACUUAAUUCUCUUUGUUUUAGGUGCCUGAUGUCCUCCAUUACAGAGACCCCGUUUUACUCCUGAGCAAUAAAAAAAGGCUUCAGAAUAAGGCGGGGGCCGGGGGUGGCAUAAAGGAUAUAACACUCUCCUAAAUGAACUUCCAGUCCUUUUAGGUACCCUCUUCACUUCUACUUCCUGAAGCCAGUUUCUUAGUUUUUUAGGGGGUUCUGUGAUACAAAUAGAAUUGCUUGUUGGUUUUGCUCACUGGGGGUUUAGAAUUCAGGUUUUUCAAGUCAACUGAGCCCUUUGCUAUUGAUUCCAGAAUUUCAUUUCCAUUAUUCCUUUUCUUUAAUCCUUAAGGGUGUAUGACUUUAAAAAUCCUGUUACUGUCAUUUUCAGGGAGUCUUAGGGAGCAAAUGUAGAACACUAUGUUUAAGACAGCAUUUUUACCUGAUAAUCCAAGGUGAUCAUUCUAAAACAUAUACCAGAUCAGUCAUAGCAUUCUUCUAUGAGAAUAAGAAGCUUCAAUGAUCCCUCGUUGCCUGCAUAACAUUCCCCACACCUGAUACUGUAAACUCUAGUCAUAAUGAAAGGCUAGUAAGAGUUCUGAGAAUACAAAGUCCUUAUCAUGUUUCCACACCUGUUUUGGCUGGGCUCAGGCUGAAAUACCCUUCUUUCUCCAUGCCUGCUUGAUGAAAAUACAGCUUAAACAUGACUUCCUCAGUGAUGCCUUUCUUCAAGCCCUAAAGAAUAAUUUAUCCAGACUCCUCCAAACUCCAUCCCACGAACCCAUCAUACUCUUGGGAGGGGUCAUUUGUCAUGGGACCUGCAAAUUCUGGGUUUGCCAAGAAUGUAAGGUCCUAACUGCUCUUUACCUAGAUCAUUUUUCAGGGUUGUUUGGGAUGAUCAGUUUCAUAGCUGAAGUAUUCUUCCCAAAGAGUAGGCUUGCUUCCACUUAACUACAAAAGUAUGGAAUCCCCCAAACUCAGUAUUCCUCUCCUAUAAUGUAACCCACUGACUGCAUGUGCAGACAUCCAUGGAAGCCCAUCUUCACCAUCCUGGUGGGACUUGGGGGACAUGGAAAAUGCAUAAACAUGAAGUUCUGGCUUCUGCUUUUGCCAUAAAUUACAAAGUUCUUUGUCACCCAGGAAUCCAAGUUUACUGCCAUAAAACAGUUAACAGGCUAUCUUACUAACUUUAAAAUAGGUUUCAAUACCAGACCCUUCCCAGACAGCGACAUAUAUUUCUUACAGCAUCAGUUGUUACUGUUGCUGCAUUAUUUCCAAAUCUGACCUCCUAUACUAAAUAGCACCCUUAUAGCAGGGAUUCAUGUCUUAGGCGCUUGUUUCCCAAACUAUUUUUUUUUUUACUCAGCUCCAUCCACUUACACUGUUCCAGUUGCAGGGAAAUAUCAAAUGCCCACCCUGUACCCUGCUGAUAUUUUGUACCUUGACUGGCACACUCUACUUAUUUUAAGGCUUAUCUCUCAGUUGUCAAUGUCAUUGUUUCCUUAAAAAGUUCAAAAAUAAUUUGGAAAAUCCUUGACCCUACCUGAAACAAGGUUAGGUCCUCCUGUUAUGUGCUGUUGUACCACAUAUCACAGUUGGGAUAAUAAGGCAUUGUGUGAGUUACUCUAAGUGUUCAGCUGCUCAGGAGAAGGCAGAGAGCAAAUUAGUGGUUGAGUUUUUCAGGCUUGGUGUUUUGACAGGUGUAUUAGUCUGUUCUCACAUUGCUUUAAGUAAAUAUCUGAGACUGGGUAAUUUAUAAAGAAAAGAGGUUUAAUUGACUCGGUUCCACAUGGCUGGGGAGCCCUCAGGAAACUUAAAAUCAUGGUGGAAGGCACCUCUUCACAGGGCACGAGGAAAGAAUAUGUAACUAUGGAAGUACACUGGAAGGCCAGGAGUGGUGGUGGCUCACACCUGUAAUCCCAGCACUUUGGGAGGCCGAGGCAGGUGGAUCACGAGGUCAAGAAAUCAAGACCAUCCUGGCCAAUACAGUGAAACCGUCUCUUUGAAAAAUAUAAAAAUUAAUUUGGCAUGGUGACACACGCCUGUAGUCCCAGCUACUCUGGAGGCUGAGGCAGGAGAAUCACUUGAACCCAGGAGGUGGAGGUUGCAGUGAACCGAGAUUGCGCCACUGCACUCCAGCCUGGUGACGAAGUGAGACUCCAUCUCAAAAAAUAAAUAAAUAAAUAAAAAUAAACCUCACUGUUUGUUUUAACAAUAACAAGCGUGGUAAGGGUGGUGUCAGUCCAUAAGUUAGAUAGGCAGUUGCUAGGCAGAUGUCGUUGCAGAAGUAUGUGUGUGUGUGUGUGUGUUGUGUUUAAGGUUGUGGUGGCCUUUGUGCAGGUUGUAAAUUUUUGUAGUCUUUUGAUAGUUCUUGUUAUCAACCAUAUGUACAUGAGAACCCUUCCCCUUCAUGGCGUUUCCUGGCUCCGUUUGCCAGGGUUUUAAUACGAGUGACUCCAUUUUGAAUCUGACAACUUUCACAUUUCCCCUUUUGAUCAAGGUCUUUCUCAAAAGCAUCACUGAUCAAUCAUCCUGUAUUUAGGUUUUGAUAUCUCUUGGUGCCAGUCUGCCCUCAUGUUGAAGGGAGUCACUGGUAACUAGGAAUUAGCAUCAAAACCCUUUAGCCACAUUUGAACAACAAAAGAGGUUUGGAGGGAGUGGAUCUCAGGCUAAGUCUACCUGGAGUCCACUGUUAAGUUCAAUUCUGUCUGUUCCAUAGGCACUGUCUAUCAUCUCAAAGUGCUGGGAGAGCAUUAUUCUCUUAGGAGUUGCAUUUCUAUGCAAAUUUGACAAGAAACAGGUAUAAAGUUCUUAAAAAAAAAAAAAAGAAAAUACAAAGUAACAAUCUCAGCAUAAUAGUUUUCAGCCGUGAACCUAGGCUUAAAGACAACCAGUUGAAUAAAUCAAAUGAUCAUGAAGAAUUAGGUGAGACUUAUUAUACCAUGUGGGCUAUUUUCUUAUUUUGUGUAUAUAAAUUCCCCAAAGGAAUGUAUCCAGGUACAGCAUGUAGUAUGAGCAAAAGCACAGACAUCUCUUUGUUUAGCUGGUACACAGCAAUCCUAUUACUUAGCAUUCCAUGACUGGCUUGAAUUAAAGCAGAGAGAGCUAACUCUGUUUUAAAAAAGACCAUUAGUACAAUUUGAACAAAAAGUUUACUGAGGAUGUUGCCAGUAUUACCCCCUGGGUGGACUAAAGGAUUUAUGAAGUCAGAUUCUGUCAAGUCACCCACAAUAUCUACCGAUUGUGAAAUUAUCCUGCCAAAUCAAAGAGGUAGGCAUAAACAAGGAAGAAUUAAGAGGGGCAAGAGUGUCAUUAGGAUGGGGAGUUAUGUUCCAUCAUCUUGGGAAAAGCUGCCCACAGUAUGGAGAUGUUAGCUUUUCAUUCUGGUUUACAGUUUUAAUGUCUCUGGUUAUAGCAUUGGGCAGUUUUGUGAACCUUUGGGCAUGAGAUUUCUCCCUUAAAAUUCAGUUAAGUUUGAGCUUGGGCUUUAAGAACAUAGCAAGUCUCGUUUUUAGUAAUUCUAUGGAAGAAAGUUGGAUUGGAGGAACCUAGAAGAAUUAAAGAUCCAGUCCAGCGACCAAGGUUUACCUAGUUGCACAGAAAUUUUCUUAACACUGGCAGGUGCCCUACUAGUAAUCUUUCUUGUCUGUGACCAGUUUAUCCUUAACAUGGGAGACUUUUUCUUUGGAUACCUUCAAUAUUUUCAGAGUGGUAUUUUCAGAGUGGUGCCUUUCACUUAGUUAAUAUGCAUUUAUGUUCCUUCUGUCAUUUAAUGGCUUGAUUGCUCAUUUCUUUUAAGCACUGAAUAAUAUUCUAUUGUCUGAAUGUACUACAGUUUAUCUAUUCAUUUACCUACCCACCCUGACACUUUGAAUCUAAUCCUGCUCUUCCAUGACACUCCCUCUUUCCCCAUAGUGCUUCCUAGGAACUUGCCACGAUGUAGUGCUUACUUAGUACUGCUUUUCUAAUUACUUAAUUUGUCCCUCAUAGUCAACCAGCAGUUUUGCCUGGUUCAUAAGAGAUGGCCUAUUUAUUGAAAUGCCUGGAUCAGAGAAAUAAGAUAUGACUAGCUGGUGCCAAGAAUGGAGCCUGGAAGUUGUCUCCAUGCUGUUUACCAUAAAGCACUAACUAAAGUCACUAUUUAAAAAAAAAAAAAAAAGGACACACAUAUUUAAACAUACUUAUUACACAUAUUUAUCAACAAGGCAUCACAAAUAAGUCACAAAAAGUAGGCUUAGUUUAGUUCACAAUAUAAAUCCCGUGAAAACAC